This 495-nucleotide ribosomal RNA is filed under the name uncultured bacterium. RNAcentral's name for it is "partial 16S ribosomal RNA". It matches the Rfam family "Bacterial small subunit ribosomal RNA", at positions 28 to 507 of the family's 1533-position model. The record is from RNAcentral.
GAUGAACGCUGGCGGCGUGCCUAAUACAUGCAAGUAGAACGCUGAAGGAGGAGCUUGCUCUUCUGGAUGAGUUGCGAACGGGUGAGUAACGCGUAGGUAACCUGCCUGGUAGCGGGGGAUAACUAUUGGAAACGAUAGCUAAUACCGCAUGACAACAGUUAUUGCAUGAUAACUGUUUAAAAGGGGCAACUGCUCCACUACCAGAUGGACCUGCGUUGUAUUUGCUAGUUGGUGAGGUAACGGAUCACCAAGGCGACGAUACAUAGCCGACCUGAGAGGGUGAGCAGCCACACUGGGACUGAGACAGGGCACAGACGGCCACGGGAGGGAGCAAUAGGGAAUCUGCGGCAAGCGACGGAAGUCUGACCGAGCAAGGCCGAGUGAGUGAAGAAGGUUGUCGGAUCGUAAAGCUCUGUUGUAAGAGAAGAACGAGUGUGAGAGUGGAAAGUACACACUGUGACGGUAACGUACCAGAAAGGGACGGCUAACUACGUG